UACGUAGGGUGCGAGCGUUAAUCGGAAUUACUGGGCGUAAAGCGCGCGCAGGCGGUUUGUUAAGUCUGAUGUGAAAGCCCCGGGCUCAACCUGGGAAUUGCAUUGGAAACUGGCAGGCUCGAGUUUGGCAGAGGAGGGUGGAAUUCCGCGUGUAGCGGUGAAAUGCGUAGAGAUGCGGAGGAACACCGGUGGCGAAGGCAGCCCUCUGGGCUAAGACUGACGCUGAGGCGCGAAAGCGUGGGGAGCAAACAGG
RNAcentral lists this ribosomal RNA (253 nucleotides) under uncultured bacterium. RNAcentral's name for it is "partial 16S ribosomal RNA". It matches the Rfam family "Bacterial small subunit ribosomal RNA", at positions 524 to 776 of the family's 1533-position model. The record is from RNAcentral.